This 798-nucleotide small RNA is filed under the name Pongo abelii (Sumatran orangutan). RNAcentral describes it as "retained intron". Lineage: Eukaryota; Metazoa; Chordata; Mammalia; Primates; Hominidae. The record is from RNAcentral.
GUAUGUCAUUGAAAGUGCCCGACAGAGACCUCCUAAAAGGAAAUACCUAUCAAGUGGAAGAAAAUCUGUAUUUCAAAAACUUUAUGACUUGUAUAUUGAAGAAUGUGAAAAAGAACCUGAGGUUAAGGUAAGUAUACAUUUUUAUUGUGUUGUAGCUUUUGAAAUGUAGAAGAGAGGAAUAUGGAGGAGUUACAUCUGGAGUAUUAUUUUUUUGUGUGUGAUGAACUAACAUCUUUUUUAACCUGACCCUAGUCAAUUCUGUAGCUGACCCAGAGCUCUGGCUAAUCUGGCACCAGGCAGAGAUCACCUGCUGAGGUAGGAGUGAAGGAACAGUUAUAUUGAGUAUCAGACUGUCUCACUAGGAAGUCAUAAGCAAAGCCACAGUAUAUAUUAUCUUUUGCUUCUUCUUCCCCCUGAGAAGUGAUUUAUGAAUUUAUAGCACUUCCUCCUGAGAAGUUAUUUACAAAUUUAUAGCAGUAACCUGUUUUCUCGUGAUGAUUUGAACUGGAAAGCCAGAGCUAUUACAGAGCAUGUAUGAAAUUCAAGUACAGUAAUAAAAACUGAGUUUGAUCAUAAAACGAGUUCAUGGCCAAUUUAACUUAAUUCAUUUUUAUUUGGCAUAAAGAUAUGGGUAGUCGAAAUGUAACAGAAGUCGAUUUAUUGAUGUCUUGGAGCCCUCGGGUUGGAAGGGCCUAAAUGUCUCUAUGAGCUUUUGUUGUCUGUCUUUAAAAAUGAAUACAGUUUUACUAUUUAGGCCAAAAACAGUGGAAUUCCAGUAGUGUCUAACUUUAAAAUCUU